This 267-nucleotide long non-coding RNA is filed under the name Elaeis guineensis (African oil palm). RNAcentral's name for it is "long non-coding RNA (EGUI_LNC040798)". The record is from RNAcentral. Lineage: Eukaryota; Viridiplantae; Streptophyta; Magnoliopsida; Arecales; Arecaceae.
GCUUGGAAUGUUGUGUGGCAUCUGUUGGUGGAUGGUGAAUUGAGGGAUCCAAUCCCUAGCCACUAGGAGGGAGUCUCUUAUUGCUCGGUGUGCAGCCCAUUUCUUGCUUGACCCCAACAGUUGAUGGAGCUUGAUGAUGAGGGCCAGAUAUGGAUCAUGGGAGGCUGAAGUGGAGAUCCAGAUGAAUCGAAGGAGUUCUUUCCUAUGGAAGGAGAUCUAUGCACGAGCCUUUGUGGUCAAUUCAUAGACUAGGUGACUUAUGGGUGA